CGGAGGGGGCUAGCGUUGUUCGGAAUUACUGGGCGUAAAGGGCGCGUAGGCGGUUUGGUAAGUUAGGCGUGAAAGGCCCGGGCUCAACCCGGGAACUGCGCUUAAGACUGCCGGGCUGUGAGUCCGGGAGAGGAUGGCGGAAUUCCCAGUGUAGAGGUGAAAUUCGUAGAUAUUGGGAAGAACACCAGUGGCGAAGGCGGCCAUCUGGCCCGGUACUGACGCUGAGGCGCGAAAGCGUGGGGAGCAA
RNAcentral lists this ribosomal RNA (247 nucleotides) under uncultured bacterium. Its description in RNAcentral is "partial 16S ribosomal RNA". It matches the Rfam family "Bacterial small subunit ribosomal RNA", at positions 526 to 771 of the family's 1533-position model. The record is from RNAcentral.